This is a small nuclear RNA of Schistocerca serialis cubense, 107 nucleotides long. Lineage: Eukaryota; Metazoa; Arthropoda; Insecta; Orthoptera; Acrididae. The record is from RefSeq and is a predicted model, not a curated record.
GUACUCGCUUCGGCGGUACAUAUACUAAAAUUGAAACGAGAUAGAGAAAAUUAGCAUGGCCCCUGCGCAAGGAUGACACCCAAAAUCGUGAAGAUGCCGGCACGGUA